UCUGGCGGUCUUUGGCCGUCCGAGUUGUAAUCUAGAGAAGUGUUAUCCGCGCUGGACCGUGUACAAGUCUCCUGGAAUGGAGCGUCAUAGAGGGUGAGAAUCCCGUCUUUGACACGGACUGCCAGGGCUUUGUGAUACGCUCUCAAAGAGUCGAGUUGUUUGGGAAUGCAGCUCAAAAUGGGUGGUAAAUUCCAUCUAAAGCUAAAUAUUGGCGAGAGACCGAUAGCGAACAAGUACCGUGAGGGAAAGAUGAAAAGAACUUUGGAAAGAGAGUUAAACAGUACGUGAAAUUGCUGAAAGGGAAACGCUUGAAGUCAGUCACGUUUUCUGGGAAUCAACCUUGCUUUUGCUGGGCGUACUUUCCAGAUGACGGGUCAGCAUCAAUUUUGACCGUUGGAUAAAGUCUGGAGGAAUGUGGCAUCUUCGGAUGUGUUAUAGCCUCUAGUUGCAUACAACGGUUGGGAUUGAGGAACUCAGCACGCCGCAAGGCCGGGUACUUGUACCACGUUCGUGCUUAGGAUGCUGGCAUAAUGGCUUUAAUCGACCCGUCUUGAAACACGGACCAAGGAGUCUAACAUGCCUGCGAGUAUUUGGGUGGAAAACCCGAGUGCGUAAUGAAAGUGAAAGUUGAGAUCCUUGUCAUGGGGAGCAUCGACGCCCGGACCAGACCUUUUGUGACGGAUCUGCGGUAGAGCAUGUAUGUUGGGACCCGAAAGAUGGUGAACUAUGCCUGAAUAGGGUGAAGCCAGAGGAAACUCUGGUGGAGGCUCGUAGCGAUUCUGACGUGCAAAUCGAUCGUC
Molecule: ribosomal RNA, 800 nt
Filed under: Pholiota sp.
Lineage: Eukaryota; Fungi; Basidiomycota; Agaricomycetes; Agaricales; Strophariaceae
Description: partial large subunit ribosomal RNA
Rfam family: Eukaryotic large subunit ribosomal RNA
Source: RNAcentral